RNAcentral lists this ribosomal RNA (487 nucleotides) under uncultured bacterium. Its description in RNAcentral is "bacterial SSU rRNA". It matches the Rfam family "Bacterial small subunit ribosomal RNA", at positions 28 to 506 of the family's 1533-position model. The record is from RNAcentral.
GAUGAACGCUAGCGGCAGGCUUAAUACAUGCAAGUCGAGGGGCAGCAUGACUGUAGCAAUACAGUUGAUGGCGACCGGCAAACGGGUGCGGAACACGUACAGAACCUUCCUUCGAGCGGGGAAUAGCCCAGAGAAAUUUGGAUUAAUACCCCAUAGCAUAUUGAUGAGGCAUCUCAUUAAUAUUAAAGAUUUAUCACUUGAAGAUGGCUGUGCGGCUGAUUAGGUAGUUGGCGGGGUAACGGCCCACCAAGCCUUCGAUCAGUAACUGGUGUGAGAGCACGACCAGUCACACGGGCACUGAGACACGGGCCCGACUCCUACGGGAGGCAGCAGUAAGGAAUAUUGGUCAAUGGACGAAAGUCUGAACCAGCCAUGCCGCGUGAAGGAUGAAUGCCCUCUGGGUUGUAAACUUCUUUUAUAUGGGACGAAAAAAGAUCUUUCUAGGUCACCUGACGGUACCAUAUGAAUAAGCACCGGCUAACUCCGU